Molecule: ribosomal RNA, 486 nt
Filed under: uncultured bacterium
Lineage: Bacteria
Description: bacterial SSU rRNA
Rfam family: Bacterial small subunit ribosomal RNA
Source: RNAcentral
AGUGAACGCUGGCGGCGUGCUUAACACAUGCAAGUCGAACGAGAACGGAUUAUAGCUUGCUAUAAUUGUCAGCUAAGUGGCGCACGGGUGAGUAAUGUAUAGGUAAUAUGCCUCUUACUAAGGGAUAACAAAUGGAAACGUUUGCUAAUACCUUAUACUCCUUAUUAACAGAAGUUAAUAAGGGAAAGAUUUAUUGGUAAGAGAUUAGCCUGUAUUGUAUCAGUUAGUUGGUGGGGUAAUGGCUUACCAAGACUAUGACACAUAACUGGUUUGAGAGGAUGAUCAGUCACACUGGAACUGAGACACGGUCCAGACUCCUACGGGAGGCAGCAGUGGGGAAUAUUGCACAAUGGACGAAAGUCUGAUGCAGCAACGCCGCGUGGAGGAUGACACAUUUCGGUGCGUAAACUCCUUUUAUAUGAGAAGAUAAUGACGGUAUUAUAUGAAUAAGCACCGGCUAACUCCGUGCCAGCAGCCGCGGUAAAG